Molecule: ribosomal RNA, 486 nt
Filed under: Triticum aestivum (bread wheat)
Lineage: Eukaryota; Viridiplantae; Streptophyta; Magnoliopsida; Poales; Poaceae
Description: partial small subunit ribosomal RNA
Source: RNAcentral
AUGGCAGCGGCGAUUCGGCAGGCGGCUAGGAGGUUGGCUGGCUUUGUUCUCCAGCGAACGAAAACGGAGGUGCCAAGGAGGCUCAUCCACGGCGGUCCGCCGGCAGCAGCCCCCUCUUCCCUCCGGCAUACCUCCUCCGGUGUUGAGCUUCCUUCUGCGAAAUCUGCUUUAGGGCAAGAUGGGAAGGCUUCUGCUUUGAGGGAAAUCAAGAAGAAGAGAGAAGAGUUGUUCGAUCUGAUUGCUGACACAGAAAGGCGAUACGACACUCGGCUUACCAAGGAAGGCUGUCAAAACACACGCAUGCUCCAGCAGCUUGCGGUUCAAAUCGAGCCUAGACCCAAUGACCCCUUGUGGCGGUCGAAACGGUUUUCGAAGAGACUCAAUGAUUUUCUGGGGUUAGCCGGGGCUGUUAUAUCAUCCUAUAUGCUUACGCGUAAGUGGCUUCACUUGGACCAAGAGGCAGAUCCAAAAGGGCAGAAGAGCUAA